UACGUAGGGUGCAAGCGUUGUCCGGAAUUAUUGGGCGUAAAGAGCUCGUAGGCGGCUUGUCGCGUCGGCUGUGAAAACCUAGGGCUCAACCUGGGCCUGCAGCCGAUACGGGCAAGCUAGAAUUCGGUAGGGGAGACUGGAAUUCCUGGUGUAGCGGUGAAAUGCGCAGAUAUCAGGAGGAACACCGGUGGCGAAGGCGG
RNAcentral lists this ribosomal RNA (200 nucleotides) under uncultured bacterium. RNAcentral's name for it is "partial 16S ribosomal RNA". It matches the Rfam family "Bacterial small subunit ribosomal RNA", at positions 524 to 724 of the family's 1533-position model. The record is from RNAcentral.